UUGUUAAAUUUUUAUUCAUUUCUACAAUAAAAAAUUAGUGUGACUAACAAAAUAACCAAACAGUUGCACAUGGUGUGUUAUAUGUAUCUCAUUUGACUACGAUGAUCAAUUUUUAACAAUAAAAAUGAAUAAAAUUUUAACAA
RNAcentral lists this microRNA precursor (143 nucleotides) under Gossypium hirsutum (cotton). RNAcentral describes it as "MIR7502 microRNA precursor family". It matches the Rfam family "MIR7502 microRNA precursor family". The record is from Rfam by way of RNAcentral. Lineage: Eukaryota; Viridiplantae; Streptophyta; Magnoliopsida; Malvales; Malvaceae.